This 573-nucleotide small RNA is filed under the name Pan troglodytes (chimpanzee). RNAcentral describes it as "retained intron". Lineage: Eukaryota; Metazoa; Chordata; Mammalia; Primates; Hominidae. The record is from RNAcentral.
AUACGCCGAGCCGGUCUUUGAGCGCUAACGUCUUUCUGUGUCCCCGCGGUGGUGAUGACGGUGAAAACUGAGGCUGCUAAGGGCACCCUCACUUACUCCAGGAUGAGGGGCAUGGUGGCAGUUCUCAUCGCUUUCAUGAAGCAGAGGAGGAUGGGUCUGAACGACUUUAUUCAGAAGAUUGCCAAUAACUCCUAUGCAUGCAAACACCCUGAAGUUCAGUCCAUCUUGAAAAUCUCCCAACCUCAGGAGCCUGAGCUUAUGAAUGCCAACCCUUCUCCUCCACCAAGUCCUUCUCAGCAAAUCAACCUUGGCCCGUCGUCCAAUCCUCAUGCUAAACCAUCUGACUUUCACUUCUUGAAAGUGAUCGGAAAGGGCAGUUUUGGAAAGGUUCUUCUAGCAAGACACAAGGCAGAAGAAGUGUUCUAUGCAGUCAAAGUUUUACAGAAGAAAGCAAUCCUGAAAAAGAAAGAGGUAUGAGAUGUGCUUGAUGGGGCUGGCAUUGGCGGUAGACACUCCUUGAAUAAUCUUGAUCCUGGAAUGUUGGUGCCAAGUUGAAACAUGCCACUAAAUCUG